AUUGGAGGGCAAGUCUGGUGCCAGCAGCCGCGGUAAUUCCAGCUCCAAUAGCGUAUAUUAAAGUUGUUGCGGUUAAAAAGCUCGUAGUUCGAGUUCAGUUUCGGACUGGGGUGGGAGGUCACCGCCCGGUGCUUCCCCUCUAGGCUCCGAACAGCUUCCUUUAUAGGAAGCCAAGCCGGUUCUGGCGGGGUGCUCUUUACCGAGUGUCCCGCGCGGCCGGCCAGUUCACCUUGAAUAAAUGAGAGUGCUCAAAGCAGGCUACUCUGGAAUACAAUGCCCGAAUGUUAACUGCAUGGAAUGAUGGAAGAUGAUCUCGGUUCCAUUUUGUUGGUGGUGGGAGCCAGAGGUAAUGAUAAACAGGGACUGUCGGGGGCAUCCGUACUACGACGCGAGAGGUGAAAUUCAGUGACCGUCGUAGGACGAACAACAGCGAAAGCAUUUGCCAAGAAUGUCUUCGUUGAUCAAGAACGAAAGUUAGAGGAUCGAAGGCGAUCAGAUACCGCCCUAGUUCUAACCCUAAACGAUGCUGACUAGCAAUUCGCCGUCGUUAUUCCCAUGACGUGGCGAGACGCCCCCGGGAAACCUCAAGUUUUUGAGUUCCGGGGGUAGUAUGGUUGCAAAAGUGAAACUUAAAGGAAUUGACGGAAGGGCACCACCAGGAGUGGAGCCUGCG
This 673-nucleotide ribosomal RNA is filed under the name Macrobrachium maculatum. RNAcentral's name for it is "SSU rRNA". It matches the Rfam family "Eukaryotic small subunit ribosomal RNA", at positions 547 to 1187 of the family's 1831-position model. The record is from RNAcentral. Lineage: Eukaryota; Metazoa; Arthropoda; Malacostraca; Decapoda; Palaemonidae.